GCCACUUCCCCAAGAGCUCACAUCGACGGGAAGGUUUGGCACCUCGAUGUCGGCUCUUCGCCACCUGGGGCUGUAGUAUGUUCCAAGGGUUGGGCUGUUCGCCCAUUAAAGCGGUACGUGAGCUGGGUUCUUAAAAACCCGUAGGUU
This 147-nucleotide non-coding RNA is filed under the name Ipomoea nil (Japanese morning glory). Its description in RNAcentral is "Bacterial large subunit ribosomal RNA". It matches the Rfam family "Bacterial large subunit ribosomal RNA", at positions 2481 to 2628 of the family's 2925-position model. The record is from Rfam by way of RNAcentral. Lineage: Eukaryota; Viridiplantae; Streptophyta; Magnoliopsida; Solanales; Convolvulaceae.